RNAcentral lists this ribosomal RNA (675 nucleotides) under Inocybe lacera var. lacera. RNAcentral describes it as "eukaryotic LSU rRNA". It matches the Rfam family "Eukaryotic large subunit ribosomal RNA", at positions 1 to 653 of the family's 3401-position model. Lineage: Eukaryota; Fungi; Basidiomycota; Agaricomycetes; Agaricales; Inocybaceae. The record is from RNAcentral.
UUGACCUCAAAUCAGGUAGGACUACCCGCUGAACUUAAGCAUAUCAAUAAGCGGAGGAAAAGAAACUAACAAGGAUUCCCCUAGUAACUGCGAGUGAAGCGGGACAAGCUCAAAUUUGAAAUCUGGCAGUUCUUUUGACUGUCCGAGUUGUAAUCUAGAGAAGUGUUACCUGUGCUGGACCAUGUACAAGUCUUCUGGAAUGGGGCAUCAUAGAGGGUGAGAAUCCCGUCUUUGACAUGGACUACCAGUGCACUGUGGUGCGCUCUCAAAGAGUCGAGUUGUUUGGGAAUGCAGCUCAAAAUGGGUGGUAAAUGCCAUCUAAAGCUAAAUAUUGGCGAGAGACCGAUAGCGAACAAGUACCGUGAGGGAAAGAUGAAAAGAACUUUGGAAAGAGAGUUAAACAGUACGUGAAAUUGCUGAAAGGGAAACGCUUGAAGUCAGUCAYGUUGGCUAGAAAUCAGCCUUGCUUUUGCUUGGUGUACUUUCUGGUUUGACGGGUCAGCAUCGAUUUCUUUGACCAUUGGAUAAAGUCUUUGGGAAUGUGGCAUCUUUGGAUGUGUUAUAGCCCAUUGUCGCAUAYGAUGGUUGGGAUCGAGGAACUCAGCACGCCGCAAGGCCGGGUUUAUACCACGUUCGUGCUUAGGAUGCUGGCAUAAUGGCUUUAAUCGACCCGUC